Molecule: RNA transcript, 2454 nt
Organism: Papaver somniferum (opium poppy)
Lineage: Eukaryota; Viridiplantae; Streptophyta; Magnoliopsida; Ranunculales; Papaveraceae
Exons: 5
Source: RefSeq, a predicted model, not a curated record
UUAAACCGGUUUCUCUGAGUCGGUAAUAACAUGAGGCCAUUCUGUAUAAGAAAUCAAAAAGGGCGACGGAUCUCAAAAUCCGCGAGAUUCAAAAACCCUAGGCUGUAGAACAAGAAUCAAAGAAGAAUCGGUGAAAGGUACUAGAAAACCUCAAAACCCUAAUUGGCAUCCCUCAUUCGCAUCUAGUAGCCGCAAUUUUAUUGGAAAAGGGAAUAAUGAUGGAGAAUUUGAGUUCAGAUUUGGUAUUAGAAAUACGUAAUCGAUUACCAAUCAAAUCCUUCUUGCAAUGCAAAGUCUGGCGAAAUUUAUUGGGGAAAUCAAAGACAGGUAUGCUUUUCACUAAGAAACCUAUAUAUUACUAUGAUGAUUGUAAACUCCAUUAUAUAGAACAAUUUUCUGAGAUGUUAGUAAAUUCAAAUUGUACCAAGGAACAACCACAAAAUUUUCUCAAGAUUGUUACAGAGAUAGGCAGUGUAUUUACUGGUAUUUAUCUCUUCAACUUGAUUGGUUCUUGCAAUGGUUUGGUAUGUUAUGAUACUUGGGAGCCCAAAUUCGGUGUUGUUAUCUACAUUUUCAAUACCAUCACUAGUGAACGUGUCCGUUUUCCUCCUGAGAAGCCUACAAUUUUCCUCUUCAGUCUUUUGUUUGUGCUGGAUUCGGUUAUUGUCAUUCCAGUGAUUCAACAGAUUAUAAAUUGGUUAAGAUUUUCUACCUUGGCAAGCGACACAUCCAAGUUUGCACUCUUGGUGAUGGCAACGGGUGGAGAGACAAACCAGAAAUUAGCUAUAAGUUCUCGAAAUCGGGCAUUUUUAGCUAAUGGGGCUCUGCAUAUGAAAGUGUGAUAUUGUAGCCUUUGAUUUAGCAUAUGAAACAUUUCAACAUCUUCCGUCACCAGUUCGUCAUUUUCCUUCCAAUUCCUCUAUUAGUGUUACGCUUGAAGGGGAUCUUUGUUUGUGUCUUCCUGACAUAAAGCAAGGAGAACCUAUGAUGAAUGUAUGGGUAUUCAAGAAGAAAAAUAUCAACAACUGCCGACGUAGUACUCGCUUGAAAGCACGUAGCUACAUUAACUCUUUUACUUGGAUCAAGGUGUUCAGCAAUAAAUUGGAUUCAGGCUCAAAGUGCCAGCUAUUAUCCCUUACAGCGACUGAAAUUAUACUAUGGCAAAAUGGCGUUAUCUCUUGUUAUGACCUUAAACCUAUAACUUCAACGAAACUAUGGUGUACUGAAGGUGCAAAUGGGUAUGUUCAAGCAACUCCUCAUAUGCAUAGCCUUAUUUCGUUGAAAGAUCUUGGAGAAAAGCUAGGUGAUGUUAACAAUUGCAUUUUUCUUAAUUGAAGAAUAAGUGUCCCCAUUGGAGUCAAAAAGUCUAUAACAAUGAAACUAUCUUUCAUAGUAUAGAUAUUCUUUCUUAUUUCUAGUCAAAAAAAAAUUUGUUUCUUUAGAAAGAGGCAUUGAGUAGGCCCGUUAAAUCCUUUCGAACUUGUCCAUACCUAUUUGAGGUUCCUAUUGACCUGCCAAGGUUCUUUAUCUGAAUUGGAUUAUGGGCUUGGCUUUAAUUUCGGUUUCUUUUUAUUUAAAUUUGGUUCCUCUAGUUCUACUUCACUGUGUGGUUAGAGAGAUAUACUCUAAAUUUGAUGUUGUUUGGUUGCACUUUAUGCUUUGAUAUUGAUAUCUUUAACAGUGCCUAGGUUGCAUUUUUUUCUUUAUAACUUCAAAAACACAUUAUAUCAGUUUGAAUGAGAAAUUACCAAAAGGACGAAGAAACUCAAAAUCAUGUCAACUUCGAUAGUAAUUGCUUUGCUGCAUUAGUGUUUUGUAAUCUGAAUUCACUGUAAUGUGAUGAGGCAGAGUUACAUCGACAAAUAGAUCUCGAGGAUGUAAUUGCAGAAAGUCUCAUAUGGAUGAUGAGUAUGUAAAUGCUAAUCAAAGGGAUCCAACGAUUUUGAUUACCAUCUCUGUAGCUUCUCCUCCUGUAAUUCUUGGCAACUUCUGUAGCAGGGUUUGAUUUUGUUCGUGGAUAUUCAGGCGUCAUGUCUAUGACAAACCUGGGGGUCCCAAAUCAAUCAAAUUGUAGGAAGUUGGCCAACGUUUUGAAUGAAGGCUUUACCAGGCUUAGAGAUUAUCAAUGUUUUGCUCAAAUCAAAUUAGGAGCAGUUGAUCAGAAUGAAGCCCCGACAGAGUUUGUCAUGUGGCCAUAGAUACCCAGAAACAAAAGAUUCUUGGAGAAUGAGAUGAUUGAAGGACAACCUGAAUGUUACAAGCUAGUGACUAGGAAGGUUGUCUUUGAUUGCCAAAGAGUGCAACUGGUGUGUUCCAAAUUUUGAUGUGAUUGAGUAUCCUGGGAAAUCCCGGAAAGUCUAGUUUUGGUCUGUCCCGCCUCAUACAGAUGUGGGGCCCCUUGACCUGUGGUUUUUUCUGUCAUGUGGGUACUACUUAUGUGGAAAAGGAAAAAGA